UACCGUUUUCUUCCUUCCUUCUUCCUUCCUUCUCUCUCCCUUCUCUCUCGAUGAUAACGGCGAUGGUUUCACGAUUCACCUCUAAUCCGGAAAAAUCAAUCGAUUUCUUAAACUCAAUUUGGCCAGCUUAAAUGUUAGGGUUCUUGAUGUUUGAUACCGCUGUUGUCGGAUCGGCUUCCAAUCGCUAAACCCUAACAUUUGAUGAUUUGGUCUUCACGGCCAACUGGCCUAAGCGGACGGCGAGGUCCAUCGGCUAGCGAAUUGGGCACACAAGUGGAGGAUGAGUUUGACAUCCAUUGUGGCGGUCAAGUCUCCUACUUCAUCUAGUGACGCUCCCAUUAGGAGAACCAUCUUGGCCAUGGAAGCGACCUCAUAUACAUUCAGUCGUUUUUUGAUAAAGAAGUAAAGCAGAUAACAGGUGAGUAAGGCUCCUUUUAAGAACUUAGCUAACAUUGAUAUCUUCUUCUGUGUUUUAGCUAAUGUGAGUGAGGCUCCUUUUAAGAGUGGCAAUGGUGAAGCCAAUCCAAGUUCUAUCCAAAGAGAGUGGCAACGGUUUACUUACUGCAUGACGGGGAUUGCGUUUGACUGUUAUUGAUACUUCUCUAUCCCCUGAUCAACGAAAUGUGAUUUUAUCUGGAAGCGAUGAUAAUCUCUGCAAGGUGAUUGUUUUUGUUGAUGCGUUGAUUCAUUGGGAGAGAUAAGCUCUGGUUUAUUGCUGGUGGCUAACUGUUUUGUCUCUGCAUAAUCAAGAAGAAAAAUCCGGUGGCAAUUGCUCUGUUUACUCUCUCUCUGCAAAAACGUUCACAGCAAGAGAAAUAGUGAAAGCUACUAAUAACUUUCGAUGAUGGAACUAAAGUAGCAGUUAAAGUAUUGAAGCGAGAUGACCAUCAAGUAAUCAGCUUCCUACUAGUUCCAAUUCUGACAUGACUAGUGAUCAUGGUGUUGCGAGGAACUAUUGAAGGCUAUUAGUAGAGAGAAGUAGCUCAAUCGUCGACGCCAAGCCUCCAUUGAUGUUUCGAAAAAGGCAGGCAAUUCAGACCACAUCAAACCAACAUCUCAGGCAAGUCAGACCACAUCGAACAAGUCAACACCUUCUUUCUCAUUCAUUCUCAAUCCUAUUUUCCUGCAUCUCUUUCUUUAUCAGUGUCUAGUCUAUAUAUGUGUUUUGCUUGUUUUUGAUUCAGAUUCUGCCAAAAAAAUAGCUUAUUUGAUCAUUAUACAACAUUUAACUUU
Non-coding RNA from Camelina sativa (false flax), 1233 nucleotides. The record is from RefSeq and is a predicted model, not a curated record. Lineage: Eukaryota; Viridiplantae; Streptophyta; Magnoliopsida; Brassicales; Brassicaceae.